UACGUAGGGGGCAAGCGUUGUCCGGAUUUAUUGGGCGUAAAGAGCGUGUAGGCGGUUUGGUAGGUCCGCUGUGAAAACUCGAGGCUCAACCUCGAGACGCCGGUGGAAACCAUCAGACUAGAGUCCGGAAGAGGAGAGUGGAAUUCCUGGUGUAGCGGUGAAAUGCGUAGAGAUCGGAAAGAACACCAACGGCGAAAGCACUCUGCUGGGCCGACACUGACACUGAGAGACGAAAGCUAGGGGAGCGAAUGGG
Molecule: ribosomal RNA, 253 nt
Filed under: uncultured bacterium
Lineage: Bacteria
Description: partial 16S ribosomal RNA
Rfam family: Bacterial small subunit ribosomal RNA
Source: RNAcentral